RNAcentral lists this ribosomal RNA (429 nucleotides) under uncultured bacterium. RNAcentral describes it as "bacterial SSU rRNA". It matches the Rfam family "Bacterial small subunit ribosomal RNA", at positions 355 to 776 of the family's 1533-position model. The record is from RNAcentral.
UGGGGAAUAUUGCACAAUGGGCGCAAGCCUGAUGCAGCCAUGCCGCGUGUAUGAAGAAGGCCUUCGGGUUGUAAAGUACUUUCAGCAGUGAGGAAGGGGUGAUGUUUAAUAGACACCAUUCUUGACGUUAGCUGCAGAAGAAGCACCGGCUAACUCCGUGCCAGCAGCCGCGGUAAUACGGAGGGUGCGAGCGUUAAUCGGAAUUACUGGGCGUAAAGCGCAUGCAGGUGGUCUGUUAAGUCAGAUGUGAAAGCCCGAGGCUUAACCUCGGAAUAGCAUUUGAAACUGGCAGGCUAGAGUACUGUAGAGGGGGGUAGAAUUUCAGGUGUAGCGGUGAAAUGCGUAGAGAUCUGAAGGAAUACCAGUGGCGAAGGCGGCCCCCUGGACAGAUACUGACACUCAGAUGCGAAAGCGUGGGGAGCAAACAGG